Molecule: transfer RNA, 72 nt
Filed under: Neophaeococcomyces mojaviensis
Lineage: Eukaryota; Fungi; Ascomycota; Eurotiomycetes; Chaetothyriales
Description: tRNA-Lys
Rfam family: tRNA
About the family: Transfer RNA (tRNA) molecules are approximately 80 nucleotides in length. Their secondary structure includes four short double-helical elements and three loops (D, anti-codon, and T loops).
Source: RNAcentral
GAGACUUUAGUUUAAAGGUAAAACAUGCGACUUUUAAUCGUUAUAAUAUGGGUUCAAGUCCCAUAGGUCUUA